CGCUGGCGGCGUGCCUAACACAUGCAAGUCGAACGGAGCUUAUUUAUCAGAUCCCUUCGGGGUGACGAUUUUUAAGCUUAGUGGCGGACGGGUGAGUAACGCGUGGGUAACCUGCCGUAUACAGGGGGACAACAGUUGGAAACGACUGCUAAUACCGCAUAAGCGCACAGGACCGCAUGGUCUGGUGUGAAAAACUCCGGUGGUAUACGAUGGACCCGCGUCUGAUUAGCUAGUUGGUGAGGUAACGGCCCACCAAGGCGACGAUCAGUAGCCGACCUGAGAGGGUGACCGGCCACAUUGGGACUGAGACACGGCCCAAACUCCUACGGGAGGCAGCAGUGGGGAAUAUUGGGCAAUGGGGGAAACCCUGACCCAGCAACGCCGCGUGAAGGAAGAAGGCCUUCGGGUUGUAAACUUCUUUUACCAGGGACGAAGAACGUGACGGUACCUGGAGAAAAAGCGACGGCUAACUACGUG
RNAcentral lists this ribosomal RNA (477 nucleotides) under uncultured bacterium. RNAcentral describes it as "bacterial SSU rRNA". It matches the Rfam family "Bacterial small subunit ribosomal RNA", at positions 34 to 507 of the family's 1533-position model. The record is from RNAcentral.